CCAUGAAGGGUGAGGGGAGGAAAGUCCGGGCACCAAAGAGCAGCACAGUCGCUAACAGCGACCGCUCGUAAGGGUAGGGCUAGUGCAACAGAAACAAACCGCCCAGCUCUUUCUAAAUUCUUUUAGUCAGUUUAGCGCUAUGUAAUAUAUGUUGAUGUACUGAACACUAACAGAGCUUAGAAAGGGCUGGGUAAGGGUGAAAUCGUGAGGUAAGAGCUCACGCAUCGCUAUGGUGACAUAGCGAUGGGGUAAACCCUGUGUGGUGCAAGACAAGUGGCCCAGCCAUUUCUAGUCAGCUUAUGAAUUAAAUUUCCACAAGGAAAAAUAGUUCUCCGACUGAUGGAAAUCGGCUCGGUUUCGAAAGGGCUGGGCUUGUCGCUUAGAUAGAUGGUUGCCUAAACAGAACCCGGCUUAUCGACUGCUUGGAUUU
RNAcentral lists this RNase P RNA (430 nucleotides) under bacterium. Its description in RNAcentral is "RNase P RNA component class A". It matches the Rfam family "Bacterial RNase P class A". Rfam says of the family: Ribonuclease P (RNase P) is a ubiquitous endoribonuclease, found in archaea, bacteria and eukarya as well as chloroplasts and mitochondria. Its best characterised activity is the generation of mature 5'-ends of tRNAs by cleaving the 5'-leader elements of precursor-tRNAs. The record is from RNAcentral.